UUGGAGGGCAAGUCUGGUGCCAGCAGCCGCGGUAAUUCCAGCUCCAAUAGCGUAUAUUAAAGUUGUUGCAGUUAAAAAGCUCGUAGUUGAAUUUCGGGGUCAGCAGGUUGGUCGUGCCACUGGUAUGCACUGGCUUCGCUGAUUCCUCCCUCUUGAAGAACUGUAAUGUCACUAAUUUGGUGUUGCAGGGAAACAGGACUGUUACUUUGAAAAAAUUAGAGUGUUUAAAGCAGGCUAACGCUUGAAUACAUUAGCAUGGAAUAAUGAAAUAGGACGUUUGAUCCUAUUUUGUUGGUUUCUAGGAUUGACGUAAUGAUUAAUAGGGAUAGUUGGGGGCAUUAGUAUUCAAUUGUCAGAGGUGAAAUUCUUGGAUUUAUUGAAGACUAACUACUGCGAAAGCAUUUGCCAAGGAUGUUUUCAUUAAUCAAGAACGAAAGUUAGGGGAUCGAAGACGAUCAGAUACCGUCGUAGUCUUAACCAUAAACUAUGCCGACUAGGGAUCGGAUGAUGUUAAUUUUUUAAUGACUCAUUCGGCGCCUUACGGGAAAC
RNAcentral lists this ribosomal RNA (549 nucleotides) under uncultured Glomeromycotina. RNAcentral's name for it is "SSU rRNA". It matches the Rfam family "Eukaryotic small subunit ribosomal RNA", at positions 548 to 1098 of the family's 1831-position model. Lineage: Eukaryota; Fungi; Glomeromycota. The record is from RNAcentral.